This 87-nucleotide transfer RNA is filed under the name Poronia punctata. RNAcentral describes it as "tRNA-Asn". It matches the Rfam family "tRNA". Rfam says of the family: Transfer RNA (tRNA) molecules are approximately 80 nucleotides in length. Their secondary structure includes four short double-helical elements and three loops (D, anti-codon, and T loops). Further hydrogen bonds mediate the characteristic L-shaped molecular structure. tRNAs have two regions of fundamental functional importance: the anti-codon, which is responsible for specific mRNA codon recognition, and the 3' end, to which the tRNAs corresponding amino acid is attached (by aminoacyl-tRNA synthetases). tRNAs cope with the degeneracy of the genetic code in two manners: having more than one tRNA (with a specific anti-codon) for a particular amino acid; and 'wobble' base-pairing, i.e. permitting non-standard base-pairing at the 3rd anti-codon position. Lineage: Eukaryota; Fungi; Ascomycota; Sordariomycetes; Xylariales; Xylariaceae. The record is from RNAcentral.
UCCUCCGUGGCGCAAUUGGCUAGCGCGUUCGACUGUUAUUCCAAACAGACCAUCGAGAGGUUGACAGUUCAAGCCUGUCCGGGGGAG